GUGAGGAAUAUUGGUCAAUGGGCGGGAGCCUGAACCAGCCAAGUCGCGUGAAGGAAGAAGGAUCUAUGGUUCGUAAACUUCUUUUGCAGGGGAAUAAAGUGCAGGACGUGUCCUGUUUUGUAUGUACCCUGAGAAUAAGGAUCGGCUAACUCCGUGCCAGCAGCCGCGGUAAUACGGAGGAUCCGAGCGUUAUCCGGAUUUAUUGGGUUUAAAGGGUGCGUAGGUGGUUUGAUAAGUCAGCGGUGAAAGUUUGCAGCUUAACUGUAAACAUGCCGUUGAAACUGUCGGACUUGAGUGUAAAUGAGGUAGGCGGAAUGCGUGGUGUAGCGGUGAAAUGCAUAGAUAUCACGCAGAACUCCGAUUGCGAAGGCAGCUUACUAAGCUACAACUGACACUGAAGCACGAAAGCGUGGGGAUCAAACAGGAUUAGAAACCCCUGUAGUCC
RNAcentral lists this ribosomal RNA (445 nucleotides) under uncultured bacterium. RNAcentral describes it as "partial 16S ribosomal RNA". It matches the Rfam family "Bacterial small subunit ribosomal RNA", at positions 354 to 796 of the family's 1533-position model. The record is from RNAcentral.